RNAcentral lists this long non-coding RNA (620 nucleotides) under Daucus carota (carrot). Its description in RNAcentral is "long non-coding RNA (DCAR_LNC004131)". Lineage: Eukaryota; Viridiplantae; Streptophyta; Magnoliopsida; Apiales; Apiaceae. The record is from RNAcentral.
CUCAUCAGGUCUAUUCCAAGCACCCCGCAGAAUGUCCAAGCACGAACCAUCAGGUCUAGGCCGAGCACCCCAUAGGAGUGUCUUUGGGCAAAAUACCAUCAAGUCUACGCCAGGCACCCCACAUGAAUAUCUUUGGGAACACAACCAUCUGGUCUCUUAAAAAAUCUUCCCAGCGGGAGGGGGGAAGUUUCCCCUCCCACUUGGCCGCUCCGGGACGGUCUCCGUUGGUGCUAUGGCCAUUUACACCAACGUUGUUUUCGGGAGGGGGGAGCCGGGGUCCCCUCCAUACGAAUGGAUCACUUCUCCUUCACGGUCAACGUCCACGUGUCUGACCCUAUUCACGCCAACGUUUUUCCCAAACGCCAAAGAGCCCGAGGACUCCUCAGCGACCCUAGCAGCGCCAAGCACCGGCGUCAUCCGAGGACACCAGAGUUGGCAGCCCCGCCAGGGGGGAGGGAAGAUUUCAAGUUCUCAUCAGGUCUAUUCCAAGCACCCCGCAGAAUGUCCAAGCACGAACCAUCAGGUCUAGGCCGAGCACCCCAUAGGAGUGUCUUUGGGCAAAAUACCAUCAAGUCUACGCCAGGCACCCCACAUGAAUAUCUUUGGGAACACAACCAUCU